UACGUAGGGACCGAGCGUUGUCCGGAAUCAUUGGGCGUAAAGAGCGUGUAGGCGGCCCCUUAAGUCCUGCGUGAAAUCCUGCGGCUCAACCGCAGACGGUCGUGGGAAACUGGAGGGCUAGAGUGCGGGAGAGGAGAGUGGAAUUCCCGGUGUAGCGGUGAAAUACGCAGAUAUCGGGAAGAACACCCGUGGCGAAGGCGGCUCUCUGGAACGCAACUGACGCUGAGACGCGAAAGCGUGGGGAGCAAACAGG
Molecule: ribosomal RNA, 253 nt
Filed under: uncultured bacterium
Lineage: Bacteria
Description: partial 16S ribosomal RNA
Rfam family: Bacterial small subunit ribosomal RNA
Source: RNAcentral